RNAcentral lists this ribosomal RNA (813 nucleotides) under Priestia megaterium. RNAcentral describes it as "bacterial SSU rRNA". It matches the Rfam family "Bacterial small subunit ribosomal RNA", at positions 1 to 793 of the family's 1533-position model. The record is from RNAcentral. Lineage: Bacteria; Bacillati; Bacillota; Bacilli; Caryophanales; Bacillaceae.
UCGGAGAGUUUGAUCCUGGCUCAGGAUGAACGCUGGCGGCGUGCCUAAUACAUGCAAGUCGAGCGAACUGAUUAGAAGCUUGCUUCUAUGACGUUAGCGGCGGACGGGUGAGUAACACGUGGGCAACCUGCCUGUAAGACUGGGAUAACUUCGGGAAACCGAAGCUAAUACCGGAUAGGAUCUUCUCCUUCAUGGGAGAUGAUUGAAAGAUGGUUUCGGCUAUCACUUACAGAUGGGCCCGCGGUGCAUUAGCUAGUUGGUGAGGUAACGGCUCACCAAGGCAACGAUGCAUAGCCGACCUGAGAGGGUGAUCGGCCACACUGGGACUGAGACACGGCCCAGACUCCUACGGGAGGCAGCAGUAGGGAAUCUUCCGCAAUGGACGAAAGUCUGACGGAGCAACGCCGCGUGAGUGAUGAAGGCUUUCGGGUCGUAAAACUCUGUUGUUAGGGAAGAACAAGUACAAGAGUAACUGCUUGUACCUUGACGGUACCUAACCAGAAAGCCACGGCUAACUACGUGCCAGCAGCCGCGGUAAUACGUAGGUGGCAAGCGUAGCGUUAUCCGGAAUUAUUGGGCGUAAAGCGCGCGCAGGCGGUUUCUUAAGUCUGAUGUGAAAGCCCACGGCUCAACCGUGGAGGGUCAUUGGAAACUGGGGAACUUGAGUGCAGAAGAGAAAAGCGGAAUUCCACGUGUAGCGGUGAAAUGCGUAGAGAUGUGGAGGAACACCAGUGGCGAAGGCGGCUUUUUGGUCUGUAACUGACGCUGAGGCGCGAAAGCGUGGGGAGCAAACAGGMUUAGAUACCCUGGUAG